GCCUUGAAAGCUAGCAGCAGCCUAUCUUGUAAAUAGGAAGAGGUCAGUGAAAAUCUGGCUCAAGGCU
Molecule: transfer RNA, 67 nt
Filed under: Ophiactis savignyi
Lineage: Eukaryota; Metazoa; Echinodermata; Ophiuroidea; Amphilepidida; Ophiactidae
Description: tRNA-Thr
Source: RNAcentral